Molecule: long non-coding RNA, 974 nt
Filed under: Apis florea (little honeybee)
Lineage: Eukaryota; Metazoa; Arthropoda; Insecta; Hymenoptera; Apidae
Description: uncharacterized LOC105737290, transcript variant X3
Source: RNAcentral
CAAUGAGUCUUACGAAUUUUCGAAUUUACGUUACUACGAUGAAGAGGGACAAGAUAUCUAUGUUGGCCGAAAAGAAUAUACAAGAAGGAAGAGCGAGAAACUGGUCAUUACGAGCGAAUAGCUGCGUCGAAGUUGUGAGAACCGUGGUGCUCUGAGACGGUGUUAUUAAGCAAAAAUAUUACACCGUUUUCAGAGCAUUAACGAACAAGUUUUACAGGGGAACGUAAACCGUGGCCGGCUCAUAUAUUAAGCUGGUUUGAAUGUUCUAUGAACGAAUACGACAAAUCCGUGCUUCGGUUCUGACCUUCUUUGGCGCGACAGCGUGGGCGCAUUUACUUCAGACGGAAUUACAGUCUGCACUUACUCCAUCUUACCUCAGUCAUUUCAGUAUAAGUAACUGCAAUCGUGAACCGUGACCGCUGUAUCGUAUCAUCUGGUUUACGUAAUUAUACGUAUGAAUGCACCGUCUUGGAUCGAAAGGUAAUUCGCCCGGAAGUGAUUCUUACGUGAGCUUGGUGGUCCUUGGUGAUUACGGAAUUUAGAAUUCGUCGCAGCAUAGGAAGAAACUGGUUUUACCUGAAUCAUUUCACGGUUGGGAAAAUGGAUCGCACAUUAGCCAGGACACUGUUAGAAGUUGCCGAGUUAACUCGCAACGUUAUAUUAGAAAAAAAUAUCAGUUCAAGGAAAUUUUAGGAUUGAUUUUUAAGGAAUAUUGGAGAUAUAUAUUCUUAUUUUACUAUGCAUGUUCGCAUAUUAAAUGGUAUGUAUAAAUGGAUCGAGCUCAAGCAUUUUCCUGAUUCAAAACGUUGUAUCUUUGAAUGGAUAAAUGAAAUCUAAUAUACGGAUCAACAAUAAGUAUAAUAUUAUAGCAAGGAAACUUGGUUAAAAGCCAAGAAAUGUAAAUCACGUACAUAGUUUGAUCUAUACGGAAUCGUAAUGGAUAUGCAAAACUAGAGUAAAGUGCCAGAUACCGU